RNAcentral lists this ribosomal RNA (489 nucleotides) under uncultured bacterium. RNAcentral describes it as "bacterial SSU rRNA". It matches the Rfam family "Bacterial small subunit ribosomal RNA", at positions 34 to 518 of the family's 1533-position model. The record is from RNAcentral.
CGCUAGCGACAGGCCUAACACAUGCAAGUCAGGGGCAGCACAAGGAGCAGUCUGAGUGGCGACCGGCGCACGGGUGAGUAACACGUAUGCAACCUGCCUGUAAGCGGGGAAUAACCCGUUGAAAGACGGACUAAUACCGCAUAAUACUAAAUUACUGCAUGGUAAUUUAUUUAAACAUUUAUGGCUUACAGAUGGGCAUGCGCAUGAUUAGCUAGUUGGAGAGGUAACGGCUCCCCAAGGCAACGAUCAUUAGGGGUUCUGAGAGGAAGGUCCCCCACACUGGUACUGAGACACGGACCAGACUCCUACGGGAGGCAGCAGUGAGGAAUAUUGGUCAAUGGACGAGAGUCUGAACCAGCCAAGUCGCGUGCAGGAAGAAUGUUCCCUAUGGAUUGUAAACUGCUUUUGCAGGGGAAUAAAGUGCAUCACGUGUGAUGUUUUGUAUGUACUCUGCGAAUAAGGAUCGGCUAACUCCGUGCCAGCCGCCGC